UGUGUGUGUGUGUGUGUGUAUAUGUAUAUAUAUAUAUAUAUAUAUACAUAUAUACAUAUACACACAUAUG
Podarcis lilfordi (Lilford's wall lizard) is the source of this 70-nucleotide non-coding RNA. NCBI's taxonomy places the organism in Eukaryota, Metazoa, Chordata, Lepidosauria, Squamata, Lacertidae. The record is from the annotation of a GenBank genome assembly.